RNAcentral lists this long non-coding RNA (214 nucleotides) under Vigna radiata. Its description in RNAcentral is "long non-coding RNA (VRAD_LNC008790)". The record is from RNAcentral. Lineage: Eukaryota; Viridiplantae; Streptophyta; Magnoliopsida; Fabales; Fabaceae.
CUGAUUGAUGUUGAGAUGAUGCAUGAUGUGAUAUAGGUGAUGACUCACACUGUGUGGAAUAGGUGCUUGAGAUAGAAUUUGAUAGAGAUACUGAGCAGUGUGUUUUUCUGAAUUCUGUGACUUGUGAGUUUACCUGUGUGAGUUUGUGGCUUCAGAGUUGUUUGUAAAUAAUUGCUAUUACUUUGAAAGCACGAAUGAUUUUGCCCAAAUUUUC